Molecule: long non-coding RNA, 4769 nt
Organism: Bombus huntii
Lineage: Eukaryota; Metazoa; Arthropoda; Insecta; Hymenoptera; Apidae
Exons: 3
Source: RefSeq, a predicted model, not a curated record
UUAGAUCCUCGUCAGAGCUAGGAAAUGAGUAUUUAGUUUGAAGAUGAUCGAGUGCUCGAAGAAGUCGCAUUAGAAACUCUAUAGGGGACUCCGGUCGAGAUUGCCUAUUAGAUGUCGGAUUUUUUUACAAACUCGUAUCUUCAUGAACAGAAUUUCACGAAACAAAUUCCAAGCUUCGAUAUUUCAAACGUUUGCACUUUCUUCGGCUCUGAAGCGAUUUUAUGUUACCAUCGCUAGAAAUCAAUUAAGUUGUUAAAAGAAAUAUAGAAAUGUCUACUCGACACUUGUCCACACUGGGAUUAAGAGAAAAAGAAUCCACAAGGUCGAUUAGAAUUUAGGGAGACUCGUCGAUGGUUUGGAUAAUUGAAUUGGUUAAAGCGAUCAUCCGAGGGAAUACGGGUUCGCGUAGUUGACACAUUGCUCGGGGAAUCUUAAACAUUUAUUAUCAGUUGCGCGUGAAAGGAAUUUUUUGGGUCUGGCCUGCUUGAUUUAUGACGGUUAUUGUGCCUUGAAUUCAAAGAACGAGGAAUGACAAGGCAGUGAUUCAGAGAUCUAUGGAGAUACACGUUGGUUUAAGAAAAUUCUCUGCACAUUUAUCUUUCUCGUUAUACGCGCAGCAUAUAGGAACGUUAUUUUUCAUGUUUCGUAAAGAUGCUGUUUUAUUCGUGUUACGGGGAUAUCGUUCAGCCGCGACGCCACAGGUACCGCGACGAAUUUCCGGCGACAAAAAGCGACCCGAUUCAAUUAGCGCUACGUUCAAUUACGAUGAACAUAAAUCAGGCCGCAAACGUAUCCGUUUGUUCAGCGUGACACGUUGCGCCGCCACGAGUAAUGUAUGCAUCGCAUUGUGGUCGAAGUCAAAGCAUUAUUAAUUCGUUCCGGCUGAGUAUUCGCAGCCCGUUACGGUGUUGUGUCGCGAAAUUAUAGCGUUAUAAAGGCCACGGAGUCCUCUUUCCCUCCUGCAAUUCCCCAUUUUAGUACUUUCGUGGUUGCCCAAUCUUUAUUAUCGCUGUCGCAAUAUUUUCCAACUUACGACGUAUAAUCGAACGUCGAUAAAAUCUGUAUUUUUUGUUGCAGUAGACAAUUUCUAACGCGUUCUUUUUUUUGAUAUUUCAAAUUUUUUAUACAGAUCCUUAAUUGCACAAAUUUCUAUAGCGUGUUGUAGCCAAGAAUUUCCGAAGCCUUUAUUUUAGUUAGUAAUUCUUGGCGUAUCCGAUUUUGUCGAGUCUAUAAUCCAACGAAAACUUUAAAAUUUUGAUACGAAAUUCGCCUCGCAGAUUCGACUUUUAUAAUCGAUCCCUCCCGAUGCCACAUUUAGCAGGUUGCCAUGUGCGAAACUGGCCCAUGCAAGUAAGUUCGAAUCAGGUCGACUCAGCCGUUUCCACGCGAGAACGCCAACUCUACUCGCCGCUUUUCCGCUUUGCUUACCUCUCCGCUCUCUCGUUGAUCGCCGCGUUAUUUUUGAACCACCACCGGUUGCAAGCCGCGAGAUGUUUGCAUAUUCCCCGCUCGUAACAAUUAGGCGGCGCCUCGAAAAUAGAAGAUUCUUGCAUCCAGCUAUUACGAGAUGCCACGCGACCAUGUUACGCAUAUGUAUUAUGAUAAUUACGGUUUAAUGCUCAGUGGAAAUAAAACCAUCAAAGGCAGAAACAUAAUCUUAAUGCACCGGCUGUCGAUUAGAUUUUACUACAUCUUAUUUGAAAUCAAUUAACUAUUUGUAACCGGUGGUCUACUCUAUACAAAGCUCUUUUAAAGUCGCUCUUUUUACUAUAUUCCAUCUCAAUAUAAAAACAUACCAGAUAUCUGACAAGUAUAGUAACAAAUCUAAAGCUUAUAAUUAUUAUUUAAUUUUCCACAAUAAAUUAUAGUAGACAAUUUCUAACGCGUCCUUGUUUUUUUGAUAUUUCAAAUUUUUUAUACAGAUCCUUAAUUGCCCAAAUUUAUAUAGCGUGCUGUAGCCAAGAAUUUCCGAAGCCUUUGUCUUAAUUUUUAAUUCUUCGUGUAUCCGAUUUUUUCGAGUAUACGAUCCAAUGAAUCUCCACGUCUUGGAUAGCACAGACGUCUAACAAGUCGAGCAACAAAUCUGAUAUUGCCACGUGUAGAAUUAUUUGUCUUUCAAAUUGGAACAAUAGUCAACAAGACGUGACAUGGGUACGAACGCAGACUGAUGGAAAUAUCGUCGGGAUUUCGUCAUCAAUGAUGCAAGGCUUUUAUUAUCGAUCCACCGUUAUACGAGUAUGUACGGGUAGUACCGGUUCGUCGAUUAUUAUUCGGAUGAAAAUUUUAUCGUGCGGAGACUACUGAAAAAUUCAUCGGCGUGCACCGCGGGCCGAUGGUUUCAAUCCAAACAACGAAUUCGCGGAACGAUCGGCGCAUGAAAAAUCUCUACAGCUAUAAUGAUAUGCGAAGAAAGCAAAUUAGACACGCGUCCACGAAUGCAGAAGGUGAACUCGCGCGUGCAGGAUGAACCUUUCACCGUGGUGGGAAACGUGGAGGCGCGUGAUAAGCAUGAAGGCCCAUCGAACAGCGGAAUGCAAACAAACGGUCGAUCACCUGUGCGGGAACAGCUGCACCCAAGAACCACGGUACACGAUGAACGCUUGAAAGGCGAGGAGAACAUGAAAGAGAAGAUUUUUGAGAACGUACUUGACCGAUCAAAGCCCCGUCGAAUCGGCUUUGUAUGCCAAACGACGAGCAAGAAGCAAGGACAGCUACGGAUAAUGGUCAAAUUUUAUAUACCCCUUAUUCCUCUUUUAAGAUUUCACCAUUUCUGUUUAUCAAUAGUGUUCGUUUACUGCACUUGGAUCGUGAUCAAGUCAAACAGACUAUCUUUGAUGUUUUAUCAUCUUUUGUUUUGAUCUACUACUUGCUAUAUGUGGAGCAUCAUGACGACUGAUGCAUUGAGUAAUUUUACAGAAUAACGCGCACUUGAUACGUUUCGAUUAUUUGAUACUGUGAAAAUGAAACGUAGAGCCUGGUAAAAAAGAAAAACACUUCGUUAGAAGAUAAAAGUAUGCCGAUAAAAAUAUUAAGAGGUACAUUGUAAAAAUUACCGUUCAGAAUAAUUUUAGUGUAUUUUCAGUAUAUUCGUCACACUUGCCGAUAAAAAUAUUAAGGGGUACAUUGUAAAAAUUACCGUUCAGAAUAAUUUUAGUGUAUUUUCAGUAUAUUCGUCACACUUGUCGAUAAAAAUAUUAAGAGGUACAUUGUAAAAAUUACCGUCCAGAAUAAUUUUAGUGUAUUUUCAGCAUAUUCACCACACUUGAUUUUAGGCACAGAAAUACAAGCAGAAAUAUUUUUAAUACCACGUAUCGCAUUCUACGGUUUGGUGUAAGUUCGGGGUAUAUUUUAACGUAGAAGGCCACAUUUCGGUCUACUUCUACCAACGCCAUCUCACUCGAGGAUUGCAUCCUCCGUUCUACGUCGUUGCUAGAAAAUUUGUGGAGAAACGAGUCGAUGAACAGUUUGAAAGAUCGAGCACGAAAUUGAGAAGGGUGGGUUUCCAUCGAAUCGAGGCGGAGGAAGGGCGAAGUAGAGUCAUUUGAAGCAGACAGCCAUUCGUAUUUUUGUUCGACGCUUCAAAUUAAUGCCACUCGCCGCGUUUGGAAAGAAAGUAGGAUCGCGGAUCCAGCUACGUGUUAAUUGACGUAACGAGACAGAGGGGUGAAUAUGGAUUGUUAGCGUCUGUCUGAGACUGAAAAUAUCGAUGGCAUCUAAUAAAAAAAAAAAAAAAAAAAAAAGAAGAAAAAGAUAGAAAAAGAAGAAGGGAGAAAGAAAGAGGAAGAAAAAAAGAUCUGGAAACGACACACCGAUGCAUGCUUCGAUCGCUCGUUACACUCGUAACGCGGAACAUGUUUAAUGAGGACCAUUUCGUCUGGACGUUAUUAUUAUAUGGAUGUUCUUUAUAUAAUCAGCGUGAAAUAAUGAAAAAAAGAAAGGAAGAAACGUUCAAAGUGUUAGGUAUUACGAUUGCAAUUUAUGAGAAACUUUGCAGCUGCAUAGGAAACACCACUGGCCGGAGUAGAGUCGUUCGAGUUUCCGUUUAUUGCAGUCUAUCUCGAUAGAUCAAACACGAUCUUGGUGCGAUCAAGAUUUAUUUCGAACUCUCCGUGUCUUCGAAGAACUUUUAACGGAAAAGAUAGAGCGACGUUUGUGACAAAGAGAUGUGAUUUUCUCGGAAAUGACUCAUCAGGGUCGAACGGAAGAAGAGAAACGACAAUACGAAGGGUGAAAAAAGGAACAUCAAACGAAAUACUGGCUAUAAAAUAAAUUUAUCUAUUACGUUUGUAAGAAUUUACAUUAGUCGCGAACACGGCUAAAGCUCGUCGACCAGCAUAUUUUCCAUUGCUUCCGCGAGAUCUAUCCGGAAUCUCUAAAAGCUGGCGAAUACACAGGUAUCCACUUUACGAUCCACAAAGAUUUUCCAGCAGAAAAGAGACGAUGUCGGAACAGUGGGAGGUUGAAAAUGGAGAAGAAACGAGAACGAUGCAAUCGUAAGGACUGCAUCUACCCGCAUCAUCCAGCUGACGGUUACAGCGCGUGUUUUAUCACGUUUACGUUUCGACCGGCAACCUUGUCGUUUCUGCUCGGAACAUAAUUCAAAAGGAUAUACGGUUUGAACAGUCAUAUCCGACGUGUGCAAGACUGGCGAGUAUCCGGGAAGUAACGCGUAAACCAGAUCGGAACUUAAUUUAGAGCUGGCAGAUUCGGGGGGACAGUCAGACGCGGUGAGCCGUGCUCCUCGAUUUUCCAAGUCGUUCGGUCGAACU